UACGAAGGGGGCUAGCGUUGUUCGGAAUUACUGGGCGUAAAGCGCGCGCAGGCGGUUUUUCAAGUCAGUGGCGAAAGCCCGGAGCUCAACUCCGGAAAUGCCAUUGAAACUGUAAAACUUGAGGACGAGAGAGGUGAGUGGAAUUCCCAGUGUAGAGGUGAAAUUCGUAGAUAUUGGGAAGAACACCGGUGGCGAAGGCGGCUCACUGGCUCGUUUCUGACGCUCAGGCGCGAUAGCGUGGGGAUCAAACAGG
RNAcentral lists this ribosomal RNA (253 nucleotides) under uncultured bacterium. RNAcentral's name for it is "partial 16S ribosomal RNA". It matches the Rfam family "Bacterial small subunit ribosomal RNA", at positions 524 to 776 of the family's 1533-position model. The record is from RNAcentral.